Cydia amplana is the source of this 332-nucleotide long non-coding RNA. RefSeq lists it as uncharacterized. The record is from RefSeq and is a predicted model, not a curated record. The transcript is spliced from 2 exons. Lineage: Eukaryota; Metazoa; Arthropoda; Insecta; Lepidoptera; Tortricidae.
CGAUGUAUUUUUUUAUUUUUAUCAUCUUAUUUUUUUAUUUUAAUACGGUUAUACUCGUUAUUUUGACUACAAAAAAUGAAUUUGAGUUUGAUCGAACCAAUAACUUACGCGUAGUGAAUUUUUGAUGUAAUGGUUUUAUUUUCAAUUUUCUACUUGUAACUCUUGUAUGUUUAUUAUUUAUUUGAUUAAAACAAUGAGAAAAAGUUAUUUCAGCAUGAAAAAAUAAGUUUUUUAUUUUUUGUUAAAUAAGUGCAUACGGUAGAAAAGUUCGCGUUAUGUCAAAAUAUCAUUAAUAAUUGGUACUUAAAUCAUCUGCAAGGAUAUUACGGUAU